ACUUAUAUAAUUUAAGCUUAAGAAUGCCGCGUUGAAGUUGCGGGGGCGGCAAAAUUGCCUGUAAGUA
Molecule: transfer RNA, 67 nt
Filed under: Nephropsis grandis
Lineage: Eukaryota; Metazoa; Arthropoda; Malacostraca; Decapoda; Nephropidae
Description: tRNA-Phe
Source: RNAcentral